Phragmites australis (common reed) is the source of this 1050-nucleotide long non-coding RNA. RefSeq lists it as uncharacterized. The record is from RefSeq and is a predicted model, not a curated record. The transcript has 5 exons. NCBI's taxonomy places the organism in Eukaryota, Viridiplantae, Streptophyta, Magnoliopsida, Poales, Poaceae.
UUCGAAGAUCAAAUUUUGCGCCUAGGGUACUAAUCUUUAUCUAGUUCUGCAAAUGGGAAUUGCUGUUUUUGUUAGGACUGUCUAAAGUUCAGGCACACUGGUAGAACACCAAAUUAGAUCCACUAGUGAGAUUCCCGAGGACCCCUAAAAAACCACUGGUCAAAAAAAUAUAUCGGUCGAAUUUAAAAAAUCCCCCCCGCCCCCCCCCCCGGCCCUUCACCAAUUCCGAGUUCCGACGGCAGGUCGGCGGCAUCUUCGUCUCCCACUCUCCCGUGACCCGUCCCGUCACGCACCGUCCGCCCUCCGGCGCGGCGGCGCCCUCCCGCCGGCCGCAUCCCCUCCCCCUGGCCCCUGCGCGCCGCCCUCCGACGCCUUCCCGCCGGCCGCAGCGGACAGGUGCGCAGGGCGGACGGACAGCCGCAGACGGGCAGACGGCGGACUGGAGAGGGCACCCCUGCGCGCCGCCCUCCAGCACCUUCCCGCCGGCCGCAUCCCCUCCCCCCUGCGCGCCGCCCUCCGGCACCUUCCCGCCGGUCGCAUCCCCUCCCCCUGCGCGCCGCCCUCCGAUGCCUUCCCGCCGGCAGGAGUACAUCACAAUUGUUAGCGAGCUACUCCCUAACUGGGCUGGCGGUUCAAGCACAAAAAGGAAAGAUGAAGAUAGCAUAGCUCCUGCUUCAGGUUCGAAGGGACCGAUGGGACCUGUAUUUAGCAGUUUAAUGUACGAGGAGGAUCAAUGAAAUGAAUCAGAACUUGGUGACAUCCAUGUUUCAGUGAGGGAAGGAGCAAUUGAUGACAUAGUAAAGCAUCUGGCUGCUGGUGUGGAAGUCAACAUGAGAGAUAGUGAAGGCAGAACUCCAUUGCACUGGGCUGUCGACCGUGGUCAUCUAAAUUCUGUUGAAAUUCUUGCAAAUUCAAAUGCAGAUCUGAAUGCUCAGAAAGAUGAUUAAUCUUUUCAAAAUAAAAGGGCCAAAAGAAAGAAGAGGCAGCAAGUGCUGCUGGAAAGGCCCCUGUCAAGAAACAAUCUGCUGGGGAGCUCCGUCUUCAUAAAGG